Panicum virgatum (switchgrass) is the source of this 790-nucleotide long non-coding RNA. RefSeq lists it as uncharacterized. The record is from RefSeq and is a predicted model, not a curated record. The transcript is spliced from 3 exons. Lineage: Eukaryota; Viridiplantae; Streptophyta; Magnoliopsida; Poales; Poaceae.
AGCGCGGGCGGAGGCAGGAGGAGCGGCGCGAGCAACCACAGGCGAGCGGCGCGGGCGGACGCGCGUCCGCGGGAGGUGCAGUGCGAGCGGCCGCAGGUGAGCAGCGCGGGCAGAGGCAGGAGGAGCGGCAUGCGCAGCCACGAGCAGAGGCAGGAGGAGUGGCGCGAGCGGCCGCAAGCGAGCGGCGCGGGCGGAUGCAGGAAGAGCAGCGUGCGGCCGCGAGUGGAGCGGCGCGAGCGGAGGCAGGAGCAGCAGCGCGCGGCCGCGGCAGGAGCGGCACGGAUUAGGCCAGCCUCGACGAGAACGUGGUGAACUAGUUCAGGUUGGAUCAGUCCAAGUACCAGUGGGCGCUCAUCAACUACUACGAGGCUACAAGCAAGGGAGCGUGCUGAGGUGGAGCAAGCUCGAAAAAGUAAGGCCGCGCAUGCAGCUCGAACCAGGAAGGUGGAGCAAGCAUCGUGAGGCAGGCUGCUGCAGCCACGUGGCUCGAGCUCGGCGGCGAUCUGGCUCGGCGACGGCCUGGACGAGCAACAGCCUAGCGCAGCGGCGGCCUGGACGAGCUUCGAUGGGAGCGGCAGCGGCCUGGACGAGCUGCGACGGGGCUGGCCUGGACAGAUGGCGCAACCACUUUUUUGUUAGCGCUUAUAUUAUUAGCGCUUAUAUCUCCAAAUAAAUUUAUUAUAAAAAUAUAUUCUAUAACAAAUCCAAUGGUACUUAUUUUGUAUCACAAAUAUUAUUACUUUUUUUAUAUAACUUUAGUCAAAAUUCGAAUUCUUUGACUCCUCGUAAA